CAAGGGGAUGCCGAUGGCUCCAGCAAGUGGAAGUUGGAAGGAAAGCUAGGGAUGCCCAGACUCAUGGACUAAGAAGGGAAUAGAGUGAGAACAGCUCAUCAUAAAGUCAGAGAAUCCCAGAGUUGGAGGGGACUUUGAGGUUGCUUCUGCUAACCUCCCGGCCCCAACAGAAAUUCUUUCUACAAACACAUUUGGCGGAAGGUUUAUGAGGGAGGUUGUGUAGGGCCUGGAUUAGAGGGUGCGGUGCGGUCUACAUCCAAACCUAGCUGGCGGGGUAAUGUCUUCCACUAAACUUGUCGCCUUUGAUGCUGAAAUCACUCCAGUAAGGAAGUAUGGUCGGGUUUCCCGGAGGAAAAACACCGGGAGGGCUCUAUCCCAAGCAAAUACACACGCGCGCACAUUGAGGGUUGGUACAGGCUUUGAAAGAUAGAAUAUUGAAAUUCUUGUUUGGUCUUCUCUUUAAGGCAUUUACUUCCCUGUGCAGUUUAGCUGUGCUGCCACCAGGGGACAGAAGGAUGCCACUGUUUCCUAGGUUCCUGGAGCUCCACAAGAGACAGACAACUGAACUCUCACCUUGCACCAGGAGACAAAGGGACAUAUCACCAAGAGCUGUAUUCAGAAGUCUCCUCUCCAGCACACCCUGUUCAGCUCUUGGAGCAAGUGUAAUAAGAAGAAUCCACGGGGCUCCUGGGUGACCCAGUUGGUUGAACGGCCGCCUCAUGAUUUGGGCUCGGGUCAUGAUCCCAGAGUAUGGGAUCGAGCCCCGUGUUGGGCUCCAUGCUGAGCGCAGAGCCUGCUUAAGAUUCUGCCUCUCUCUGCCUCUGCCCUCUGCUUGUGCGCACUUGCUCUUUCUCUGAAAACAACAACAAAAAAAAAAAAAAGAAGGAAAAGAAAACAGAAAAAGAAUCCAGCUUUCUCAUUCAGAGUGGUUUUUUUCCACCUAUAAUGCUGCUUUAGGCUGACCAUCUACCUCAGCCUCCCCCCCCACUCCCCGCCCCCCGCUCCAUCACCAUUACACUCUCACAUCCAAUCUUCCUAGAUAAUCACAAGCACUCCCAGACUCAGUGGCCCUAUAUCUGGAAACCAUACUGCACUUUAGUUAAUGACUAUGCUUUAAACAUUUUGUUGAAGUAAAUGGAAUUACUAAAAUAGGUGUACAUUAUCUUCAGUGUUAACUGUUUAUUUAACAUCAUAACCUAAUUGUACUUUUAUAUACCGUCACUAAUCAAAAUUCUAGGUUUGAAAGGGGAAUCCUCCAGCAAGAUCAUCUUUUGAAGUAAACUUCUGCCCUGCAUCCCAGUGAAUUUUGGUAUCUCUAUUCAUUUACCUUGAUCGUCAUUGCUCUAUGAAGAUACAGGGUAGUAGUUAUGUUUUGUGGAAAACAUGCCAUCCACAUUUAAAUCCUAACUCCUUUGUUUCCUAGAUGUGUAACACUGGGAAAAUUGCUUAAUACCUCUAUGCUUCAAUUUCCUCCUCUGAAAAGCAGGAAUAAUAACUAUGAGGAAUAAAUGAGGUGAAGCAUAUAAAGUCCUCUGCA
This 1537-nucleotide long non-coding RNA is filed under the name Felis catus (domestic cat). RNAcentral describes it as "lncRNA (ENSFCAG00000048938.1)". The record is from RNAcentral. Lineage: Eukaryota; Metazoa; Chordata; Mammalia; Carnivora; Felidae.